GAUGAACGCUGGCGGCGUGCCUAAUACAUGCAAGUCGAGCGAACGGACGAGAAGCUUGCUUCUCUGAUGUUAGCGGCGGACGGGUGAGUAACACGUGGAUAACCUACCUAUAAGACUGGGAUAACUUCGGGAAACCGGAGCUAAUACCGGAUAAUAUUUUGAACCGCAUGGUUCAAAAGUGAAAGACGGUCUUGCUGUCACUUAUAGAUGGAUCCGCGCUGCAUUAGCUAGUUGGUAAGGUAACGGCUUACCAAGGCAACGAUGCAUAGCCGACCUGAGAGGGUGAUCGGCAACACUGGAACUGAGACACGGUCCAGACUCCUACGGGAGGCAGCAGUAGGGUAUCUUCCGCAAUGGGCGAAAGCCUGACGGAGCAAGGCCGCGUGAGUGAUGAAGGUCUUCGGAUCGUAAAACUCUGUUAUUAGGGAAGAACAUAUGUGUAAGGAACUGUGCACAUCUUGACGGUACCUAAUCAGAAAGCCACGGCUAACUACGUG
Molecule: ribosomal RNA, 497 nt
Filed under: uncultured bacterium
Lineage: Bacteria
Description: partial 16S ribosomal RNA
Rfam family: Bacterial small subunit ribosomal RNA
Source: RNAcentral